GAUCAUCCAUGCAAAGGUUUACUAAUCUGCCCAAACAAAUAUUGCUUUUUAUUGCAUGCAUGCAACAUAUAUAUAGAGUACAGAAAUUUGCUGACCACUUUAAUUAAUACUUAAACUGUAAGCAUCAUAUCCUAAUUUGCUAUUAAAGGAAACGACACCACACUUAAUAUGCAGCCUUUCUUUGCUGCAUUUCUUUUGCCUUCACGAUAUAUCAACUUCCCACCAUAAUUUGAUUACAUUAUUUUUUAGUAGUGUAGGCAAGAAUAAUGAAAUUUUUAGAUUUCAAAUGGUGAUUAGAAUGCGCAAUCAAGGGGCGUAGCCACCGCCGUGUCCACCACCUUCACUACCUCCAGCACCUCCUCCAUAUCCACCAGCAUGCUCAUCACCUCCAACGUAGGCUCCACCUCCGCCGGCACCACUACCGCCACCACCGCCUCCGUAUGCUCCUCCAUGUGCUCCUCCUGCACCGCCACCGGCUCCUCCUCCACUACCGUAUCCACCACCUGCUGCUCCCCCUGCUCCUCCUGCAUAAGCACCACCGCCACCACCUCCAAGGGAUNNNNNNNNNNNNNNNNNNNNNNNNNNNNNNNNNNNNNNNNNNNNNNNNNNNNNNNNNNNNNNNNNNNNNNNNNNNNNNNNNNNNNNNNNNNNNNNNNNNNNNNNNNNNNNNNNNNNNNNNNNNNNNNNNNNNNNNNNNNNNNNNNNNNNNNNNNNNNNNNNNNNNNNNNNNNNNNNNNNNNNNNNNNNNNNNNNNNNNNNNNNNNNNNNNNNNNNNNNNNNNNNNNNNNNNNNNNNNNNNNNNNNNNNNNNNNNNNNNNNNNNNNNNNNNNNNNNNNNNNNNNNNNNNNNNNNNNNNNNNNNNNNNNNNNNNNNNNNNNNNNNNNNNNNNNNNNNNNNNNNNNNNNNNNNNNNNNNNNNNNNNNNNNNNNNNNNNNNNNNNNNNNNNNNNNNNNNNNNNNNNNNNNNNNNNNNNNNNNNNNNNNNNNNNNNNNNNNNNNNNNNNNNNNNNNNNNNNNNNNNNNNNNNNNNNNNNNNNNNNNNNNNNNNNNNNNNNNNNNNNNNNNNNNNNNNNNNNNNNNNNNNNNNNNNNNNNNNNNACAACACCUACAUGAUCAUAAGUGAGGAGGGUUCUAGCAGCUGAACAUAUUCCUAUGCCCAGUAACAAAAAGAAAACAAUGUUAGUGACUUUAAGCUUCGCCAUUGCAAUGUAGUUGAAUGCCACAAAAUCGACUUGGAAUAGAAUGCAAGAACCGGAGGCUAUUUAUAGAUGUAGAAAAGCGUCUAUAUGCACAAAUCACAUGCAAAUGAACAAAAGGCAACUCCUUUUGUCCCUACAAUUUAAGUGAUCCACUGCACUAACAUCCUCACAGAUUUGACAUCAUUUCUUUUUAAUUCAAUCUCUACUCCAAGUAGACCAGCUAGUGUGCUUGUGCUGUCUCCCAUAUUCGUUAAGUAUACAGUAUAAAAAUAUUUCUUAAUACCAUACUUUUCUUAAUUCUUUAUUUUUGAUAUAUCUUGUAGUUGGAAGUCCGACUCAGUUUCAGUAAAUUCCUCCCAAACUAAUUAUAUAUUUUAGUUUCACUUAAUCAAUACGGUUCUUUAUGUUUAAUAUUUUGUGUCACAUUCUCUAAUUUUGAAUUGGAAAAAUGUGAUGCGAUAUUGAAUUAGGCCGAUUAAGAUUAGAGUUCUUAUUCAACCGGGGCUUGCUAAUUUUUGAGCUUUUAUGAGUUUAACUUAUAUGCCGUUGCGGUAAAAGUAUAUUUCCUAAGAUUUACGCAAAACAAUUGAUGCGUGAUACAUUAUUUGUUUAAUCAUUCGAUACUCAAAGCCAACUGGUCCGGCUAAUUCAGAUUUGCGACGGUAGAUCCACUAUGGGGUGUUUGAGCUCGAGACCUUUGGUUAUGCAAUAACGAUAUCUCCAGUGUUCACCAAAUAGUGGACAAACUUUUAGAAAAUGAUUUGGAACAUCUUGAGCACAUAUUGGAAGAAGUUGAUAUAAAUGAAGUAAGAAUUAUAGAAAACGAGGAAGAAGAAUCAACUGAUGAAGCUCAAACAAGUGAGGAAGAAGAAUUCUCUGACGAAGAACAAUACGUCGAUGAGCUUUAAAAAAUUGGUUUCUUUAAUAACUCUCGUUUAUAACUUGUUUCCUUAUAUGUUUCAAUCUAAACAUGUAUUAUAUUAUGCAGAUCACAGGCAAAGGUCGAGGUAGCAGUGACCCUAGUGGUUCUCGGGGUUGAGAAAAGGCUAGGAAACCAAAGAGAAGGGUAGAAGAUAAUUCUCAUCUUUUCCACCCUCUUCUGAUGCGCCUAUGCCUAUGUCUUUGCCUCCACUCCAGGGCUAUUUUGAGCUGCCACAGCAUCAUACGCCCUACACCUUCGUGCAGAUCCUAGAUCUUUCAUCACAGGGCCAUAGGACUAUACAUCCGAUAUACAGUCCACCUGCCUCGCUACCACGUGGAUCACACCCAUCAGCAUCACAUGGAUCACAUCGAUCCAUAUCACAUCCACAUGGAUCACAUCCAUCAGUGUCACAGUCACUCGGGUAACAACGAUCAGUAUCACAGCCACUUGCGGUCCAUCCACCUAUGUUGCAGUCAUAGGGAUCACAUCUAUCUUCAUUAGGGACUCCAUCUAUUUUAGGCCUUCGCCUGCGAGAUAUUAGCUCUAACCCCCGAACACCUUCCACACAUGCCUCUGAUAUACAUAUUUCGGAUGGUGAUGUUGAUGCUGACGAGGAGGUGCAUUAUGAUCAAUAUGGCAGGAUCAUCAUAUUUCCUGCGAGUGAUGGGUAAGAAUUAUUUGUUAUUUUUAAGUUUAUUAUUUUGUACUUUUUUUACUAAGAUAAUAAUUUAUUUUUUUAUUAAAAUGCAGGUUCAUACCGAGUAAUACUACUACGAGGAUAAUCACCAAACCAAUAAUGGUUGCUCUAUGAUAGCUCUUAUGCGUCUUGGCGUGAAUUCUCAUUCUCGCUGAAGGAGCAAAUUCUCAACGAAUUUAAGGUAUAAAUAUUCUUUUAAGAAGUAUAAUUAUUUUUAUUUAUGAUAUUAUCAAUAUUUAACUUUUAAAAUACAGAGCAAGUAUGUAUGGGAACACCGCUAUAGCGCGAACGUGGCUGGAAAAUUUUAUCUCAAAGCUCGCAAGCGGUAGUAACAUACUUUCUCCAAAGCUAGAAAGUUGAACCAGAAGCCGGACUGGUUGCUUCAGAAUUUAGGAGAGGAUUUGCAAAGGCAAUGGCUUACUGCAGAUUUCUUAGAGAAGAGCGAAAAAGGAAAGAAAGCAUAUGAGAAAGGAGGAUCCUUGCACAUUGGAGGUGCGAUCAACCUAGGGACAAUAAAAAGAAUAAUUGUACGUAAUUGCUUAAUUUAUUUUAAUUUUCAAAGUAUAUCUAUUUGAAUUAUUAACUAAAAUUAUGAGUUUUUAGGAAAAUAAUUUGGGGCAUCCGAUGAGCAAAGAUGAUCUAUUAAAGGAGACUCAUAUUGUGAAGAAGAAAAAGAAGAAGAAAGACAUGGAUCAAGAAAUGUGGGUUGAGGGAGAAGCCUCGACUAUACAUGUAAGUUUUCACUUUUCAUUAAGUAUUUUCAUUUACUUUUCUAUACAUUUUGAAAUACUAAUUCAAUUUACUUUUUCUUAUAGGGUCGCUUCACAGCUGAAGUGGAUGAAUUCAUAUGCAGUAAGCCACCUAAUGAGUCAGGCGAGCCAAUCCAACCUUCGGAUGGGGAUGCUGAAAGAAUGUUGACGGAAGCUACAGGCGGUCCAAAACGGGGAAAGGUAUAUAGGCUUCUUACUAAGAAAUUCCAUCUCUAUAAGUGUGGAAUGCAAGGAAUAGGGAUUUCCUCGCUAACUGAGCAACUUGAUGGUGAGAGCCUCUCUGCUAUACAGGAGACUGUGAUAAAGCUCACAUCCAAGCUAGAAAUCGGCCAAGGAAAGAGAAAAUCUUAGAGAUGCUCAGUACUUUGGCACGCAAGCUCAGUACCAAGGCAUGAAAGAGAAGCUCUAAUCUCUCCUAGCUUCUAGAGCUUUUUCGAUUUUUCGAUCUCGUGAGUCAUCGCCAGAGGUUCGCCUUCGCCAUGCUCAUUCCUCCCGUCCUCCAAGUGCUCAUUCCUCUCAUCCUCCCCGUGAUCGGUCUUCCCGUCUUCGACAAGUAGACCCUUCUGAAUAACGUCAUGGUGAUGAAAGUUCAUCAGACGGUGAUGAUAAUGAUGUACACAUCACUCAUUCACUUUUAGACAAUUUGAACUAGACAAAUACGAUUGAGUUUCGAAUGGACUUUUAAUAAGAGUUAACUUAGUUUGAUUAGCUUAAUGUGGUAGUUCUGUUUAACUUUAAACUUUCUUGGUUUUAGUGUCGGUUUUAAAGUUGUUUUUGUGUUGUUGAUGGUAUUGUUGUCGGAAUUGUUGUUGUUGUUGCUUGUAAUAGGGUUUUGAUAUGACUGGCAUGUGGUAUAGCUCCCAAAACAUGCAGCUUCUGCCAAAAUAAUACAUAGAAAAGCUACCAACUUUUGGUCUCUAUUUGGUUGAAUUUUAUUUAAAAAUAUAAUCUGGGAAAUAGCAACCAACGUUGGUUUCUUUUUACCCAGACUUUGAAAAAAGCAACCAACCUUGGUCAUUAUUCCAUUAAAACAAUUCUUGUUAUAUAGCGAGUUUUCCAAAGGGAUAUACCACAUAUACAACACAGUCAAAACGUGCCGCGAACCAUGUCACAUAAAUGCACCCGUAAUUUUGACACAUUUUAACAUCGUUAGGAUUCGGAUUUGGCUCAUAUAAAUGUGCACCCAUGUUUAAGGAGAUAAAAUUAUUUAAGACGUGCCUAAAAGCAACUAGCGCGUUAUUAUCUUUAUGAGAAGCCGUGAAAAUUCGCUAAACGGCUCGUCUAGAACUCUAUGUACUUUAAUAUAAAAAAUUAGCGGGGCCGCGCGAUUUUGGAUUCCGUUUUUCGCGACACCUUGUUCCAUUUAUUAUUUACAGCCCAUCCUAAAGCGAACUAGGAUUUCUCAUGAGACGUGUCCCUGAUAAGACUUAAUUCAUUGUCAUGGACUUCUAGCCCCGCCUUCUAAAUCUGAACAAUAAUUGUACCUAUUGAGUCUUUGGGCUUCCUACUAGCCUAAUAGGGAAGGAUUUCGGUCAAUUCCAACCCCCAGGAAACACUGAACUUCAAUAAAAUCAUGAGGCUAUUGGACCUUAUAAUAGGUGAAUCCAAAACGUGUGUGGUGACAAAGGGAUUUGUUAUAAAAGAGAACAAUUGCUUCCAACAAAUCGCUAUAUAUAUUUAGGAGGAAAACAUGGGUCAAACUACACAAACACUGAAGACGCAUGAGAUAUUAAACUUGAAUUGACCAGACCUAAAUUAACAUACUAAAGCAAUAUUCUAUAGUUUCAGACUUUGAAAUUCCAAAACGAGCCUAUCAUUUACAUGCUGGAUUUACAAAUUCUAUAGGACUAACUCUAAAUGCAUUCACACCAUCAUAUAAGACUUUCUACUGAUAGGCCAUCAAACAAAUUACUCAUUCAAUUGGCAAGGCAGUUCAAACCUAGGUAUAUGAGUCCUAUUAGAACCAAAAUCAUAGCAGCACAAAUGAAAAUAUAUACAGUCCAAUUUUAACAGUCCAAUUAUGCAAUUCAUACAUAGCACUACUACUUAGUUCAAAUUACAAGAUUGGAAAAUAAAAUUAAACAUAGACAUUGAUAAGAAAAACUGGUUGCUCAUAUAGUAAAUCAGGUACAGCAAUAGUUCUGAUUCCUCAUACAUUUGAAGCUGGGGCAUACCUGGAAUUACCAAGGAAACAGGAAGGAGAUGCCAGAAACCAGCAAAGUUAAUCAGCAUAUUAAUGGAAAAAUCAACAACUCGAUUUCCACAUGAACCCAGACACAAAAUCAAAUGAACUCGGAGGAUUUAACACCAUACAACAGAUACAAUCCUACUCGAAAUAAACUGAAUAACAACUAGACCAAGUCAUUUUCCUAUGAUCUCUGAUAGACAGCUGAAUUUAAGAGGGUUUUUGCACAGUAAAUUCAAUGGAAUGGUAUAUUUAGGACUGUUGGAGGUUUUCAAGAGUUAUUUUGAGAGAUUUUGAGUUCCAAAUUUCUAAGAAGUUAUAGAGAUACUUUCAGAUUGUCCAACCCCCCCUCCCCGAAUGAUUUUCAGUCCCUUUUUAUAGCCAAAGGCUAGGGCAGCACUAUUAUUUAGUUUUAACAAAAGGUCUCUCUUCCAAUUAUCAGAUUUUACCUAUUUGGACCCUCAUUUUUUGACUUGUUUCUCGAGUUACUGCAAUAAGACUACUGGUUUUAUAUUAAAGACCCCUUAUAGAAGGCUCUAAACGCUUCUAGCAUUAUUCUCCAUUUAUAAACUACCUAUAAUACCCUUAUUUUAUUCCUAAAAUUAUCAAAGCCACGUUAAAACUCUAUAUUACCGCUAUUUUAUUCUGAAAUUUACUAAUACUAAACUAAAAUUCUAUAUUACCCCUAGAUGAUAAAAAAAGACUGUUUACCAACUUGUAUCUAAUUACUAACACCUAACAUUGCUAAUAGUUAUAUCCAACUCUAAUGUUAUUGAGUUAUUAACCAAGAACAAACGCUAAUCAAUCCUCAGUAAAUAAAUUUAGGUCAAAUACUCAAAAGUUAAAAGAAGAACACAGGAGGCUACCACAAUCAAAACGAAAACUCAGAAAUGAACAUCCAAACCAUGUGAACCAUUAAUCGAAACUCAGAAAUUAGGAAAUCACCAAAAAAUUAUGACCGACCCUAAUUGCAUGUGAACUAUUAACCAUCAUUCCAUCUCAAAAAUAAAGAACACUUCAUAAAUUCGAGACAACAUGCAUAAACUUUAAAACUAAACCUAAAAACAAGCAUGGUAAACAAAAUAGAAAUGGCUAAUUUAAUUCAUAAAUGGACAUGUUCAGGAUUAGAAUAGGAAUAACAGAAUUAUGAACAUAAUCAAAAAUCUAAUAAAAUGCCUUUUUCAAUCAAAACUAAAGAAAAAGAAAUAAUUCCAAACUUAGUUGCAAGAGAAAUACAAAAUAGAAACACAAAUUAAAAAGGGUGAUCUUACCGGUUUAUUUCAAAUGGCCUAUUGAAUGGAAUUGAAUCCCAAAACGGAUUCAUGUGUUUGUUUUCCCCAAAACAAAUAUUCUACUCCAUUGCAGGACUCAAGCGGCUUCGAGAAUCUCAUCUUCAACAUUAGGUCUAAUCCGAGAUUUUGAUUUUGAGGAGUCUGAGAAUUAUUCGAAGGGGACUAGACUUGUUUUUGGCUAGGGGAGACUAAGGGGGAUGGGUGGUGUUAAUUUGGGAGUCGUUGGAGGUCAGCCACCACCGUGCAUGGCGAGGCUGCCUUAUUCGAAAGAAAAUUUGAGGAGCUGGGGUCAUGUUUGAGAGUGACUGAUGGUAGGGUUAGGAAGAGGGGAGUGAGGGGGUCCCAUGAUGUUAAUUUGGGUGUCAUUGGUCACCAGCCGCCGCCAUGGACGGCGGAGCUGCCGUGCUUUAAACAAAUAUUCGACGGGCUGGGGAGGGUUUCGAAGGGUGAUCUUAGGGGGGUUGGGAAGAAGAGACAAUGGGGAUUCUGGGGUGCGAAUUUGGAGACUAUUGGAGUUAUGCCACCGCCGGUGGUGGUUUGACAGUGGCAUUACACUGGCAAGGGAUGGUACGAGGAGGAUGAAUUUUUGGUCUCCCAGUUAUUACAGGGGUUUGGAUAGUUUAUUUAGAAUUUAAGGCUCAAUCUGAGCCGUUAUAUUGAGGGGUAUGGACGGUUGAGAUGGACGGACGAAAAAGCGGCGUCGUUUUGAUGAGGGUGGGAUUGGACCGGGUCUGGGAAAGGUUUUGGGUUGGUUUCACUUGGAAAAAUGGUCUAAGUUGGCCUUUUUAGAACAAGGCCACAUUUCCAAACCCCUUUUGUUCUUAUUUGUUUUAAUUCCUACAUUAACUUACUUUAUUAACACCAAAUUAACAAAAACCUGAUUUAAAUCAAAAUUUGCUAAAAAUGCUUUUUUUUUUGUAUUUUUUGUGAAUUAAAAUGCACUUAACAUGAAUAUAAACAUACAAUUUAUGUAAUUAAAUUCUAAAUAUUCAAAUAAUAAAAGAAAGACGUAAAUAAACACGAAAUCACAUUGGGCUAAUUAAAUAAAAAUGCUAUUUUUUGAAUUUUUGCGAAUUAAAAUACACUCAACAUGCAAAUAAACAUACAACUUAUGCAAUUAAAUUCUAAAUAUUCAAAUAAUAAAAGAAAGACGCAAAUAAAUACGAAAUCACACAAUUAAUGAGGAAAAUGCAAAUAAACACGAAAUUACGCAGUUGACCCCUAAAAAUUCAAAUAAUAAAAGAAAAAUGUAAAUACGAGCAAUUAAUUUCUAAUAAUAAAAAAAUGCAAAUAAACACAAAAUCACAUAAUUAAUUCCUAAAAAAUUCAAAUAAUAAAAGAAAAGAUGCAAAUAAACACAAAAUCACAUAAUUAAUUCCUAAAAAUUCAGAUAAUAAAAGAAAAUCAUAGUUUACAAAUUUAUAGGAACAUUUCAAGUGAGGCAAAAAUCACGUGUUCACAAUUAGUAUUUCAAAAUGUAUAUAAAAGUAAAUAGAAAUACUUAAUGAAAAGUGAAAACUUACAUGUAUAGUCGAGGCUCAUCCCUCGACCCACCUUUCUUGAUCCGUGUCUUUCUUCUUCUUCAUCUUCACAAUAUGAGUCUCCUUGAAUAGCUCAUCUUGGUUCAUCGGAUGCCCCCAACUUCUUUUCCUGAAAACUCAUAAAUUUUAGUUAAUAAUUAGAAUAAAUAUAGUUUGAAAAUUAAAACAAAUUAAGCAAUUACGUACAAUUCUUCUUUUUAUUGUCCCUAUUCUUAUCGCACCUCCAGUAUGCAAGGAUCCUCCCUUCUCAGAUGCUUUCUUUCCUUUUUCGAUCUUCUCUAAGAACUCUGCAGUAAGUCAUUGCCUUUGCAAAUCCUCUCAUAUAUUCUGAAGCAACCAGUCAGGCUUCUGGUUCAACUUUCUAGCUUUGGAGAAAGUCUGUGACAACCGCUUGCGAGCUUUGAGAUGAAAAUUUGCAGCCACGUCCGCGCUAUAGCGGUGUUCCCAUGCAUACUUGCUCGGUAUUUCAAAAGUUGAAUAUUGAUAAUAUCAUAAACAUAAAUAAUUAUACUGCUUAAAAGAACAUUUAUACCUUAAAAAUUUGCUCCUUCAGCGAGAAUGUGAAUUCACGCCAAGAUGCAUAAGGGCCAUUAUAAAGCUUUCCAGUUGCUGGUGAUUAUCCUCGUAGUAGUAUUACUCGGGAUGAACCUGCAAUUUAAUAAAAAUAAAUUAAUAUCUUAGUAAAAACUGUACAAAAUAAUAAAUAUACAAAUAAUAAAUAACUCUUACUCAUUACUCUCAGAGCUGUGAUGAUCCUGCCACAUUGAUGAUAAUGCAUCUCCUCGUUAGCAUCAGCAUCACUGUCCGAAAUAUGUAUAUCAGAAGCAUGUGUUGAAGGUGUUGGGGGUCAGAUCUAGUAUCUCACAGUCGAAGGCCUGAAAUAGAUGGAGUCCCUGAUGAAGAUAGAUGUGAUCCCUCUGACUGCGACGUAGCUGGAUGGACCGCAAUUCGCUGUGAUACUGAUUGUUGUGACCCGAGUGACUGGGACACUGAUGGCUGUGAUCCAUGUGGAUGUGACAUGGAUCGAUGCGAAGGUGGAUAUGGAGAUGCAGUUGACCAUGGAUAUGCCAGUGGAGGUGGUAGUGGAGGCGGAGCCGGUGGUGGUUCUGGCUAUGCAGCUGGAGGAGAGCAUGGUGUUGGAUAUGCUAGAGGAGGUGGUGGUGGAAGUGGCACUAGAGGUGGCUAUGCUAGUGGAGGGCAGGAUGCUGGGCAUGCAAGUUGUGGUGUGAAGGUGGUGGUAGCGGAUAUGGUGCUGGAGGAGCCUCAGGUGGUGGUUAUGGUGGGGGAGGUGGCGGAGGUAGUGGUGGCGGCGGAGCAGCUGCGGGUAGAGCACAUGGUGGUGGAUAUGCUGAAGGAGGAGGAGGAGGUAGUGGUGGCGGCUAUGGUGCUGGAGGGGCACCAGGCGGUGGAUAUGGUGCUGGAGGUGGGCAUGGAGGUGGUGGCGGUGGUGCGUAUGCAGGAGGAGCAGGGGGAGCAGCAGGUGGUGGAGACGGCAGUGGAGGAGGAGCCGGUGGUGGUGCAGGAGGAGCACAUGGAGGAGCAUAUGGAGUCGGUGGUGGCGGUAGUGGUGCCGGCGGAGGUGGAGCCUACGCUAGAGGAGGUGAGCAUGCUGGUGGAUAUGGAGGAGGUGCUGGUGGUGGUGAAGGUGGUGGACACGGUGGUGGCUACGCCCCUUGAUUGCUUAUUCUAAUCACAUUUGAAAUCUAAAGAUUUCCUUAUUCUUGCCUACACUACUAAAAAAUAAGGUAAUCAAAUUGUGGUGGGAAGAAGAUAUAUCGUGAAGGCAAAAGAAUUGCAGCAAAGAAAUGCUGCACCUUUAGUGUAUUAUCGUUUCCUUUAUUAGAAAAUUAAGGUAUGAUGCUUGCAUUUUAAGUCUUAAUUAAAUUGGUCAGCAAAUUUCUGUACGCUAUAUGUUUGAUGCAUGCAAUAAUUAGCAAUAUUUGUACUUUCAGUGUUAAAUAGGAUGUACGAUUGAACAAGGGAAAUCUUUGCUGCCCUCAGUGUUAAGAAACCAAAAAUGGACAGACCUUGUACUGUCAAUAUAAGAUGGAGCUCACUUAUCAAAAUCUGAAAACUUAAAAAUUCUGCAGCGCUGUACGAUUGGCAAAUUAAUUUAUUUGGCAUAGCUUAUGUAGGGCAGAACUGAUAUAUGAAAAAAGGAAAAAGAAAAAAACAACUCAUCUCCGUCAGGUUGGUUGCACUUGGAGAUGAGACAGUCAUGCGAUAAGAGAAACAAAGUAAUGCCCGAGUGGAAGGCAAAAUAAAAUAUCUUAGUAGUAGCUUGUAUUAACAGUUAAUUUGUACUACAAAUGAAUUAUGUGAAAGUUGCAGUUAAAUGAGACCGAAAAGUAACGAUAAUAUCAUUAUUAUUUGUGAGCGGAAAUAUAUUAACUGGCUUGAGUCGUGCUGGGUACUUUCCUAAGAAACUAUUUCAACAGAGUGAAAUAUUUCUCCAGGAUUAAACAAGUUUACCUCUAUUUUAAACAAAUAUUCUCUACCUCAUCUGAUUCUCUUGAUUUUUCUGCUAAGUUAAUUAUCAACCUCGGUUUUAUAAGAAAAAAAAGCAUUAAAAGCAUCCUCUUUAUUUCUAAGCAAAUGCAACUUAGUAUAUCUAGAAAAAUCAUCAAUAAAAGUCACAUAAUAUCUUUUACUACCUCUAGUCAUUGUCUGCUUUAAAUCGCCCAAAUCAGUAUGAGUUAAAAAUAAUAAUUCAAUUUCUCUAUUUAGAGAAAAAUAAGUCUUUCUAGUACUUUUAGCUUCAGCACAUAUUUCACACUUGUUAAUAUUAUUUGAGUCUAAACCAGAUAUUAAUCCUAGCGAUUGCAUUUUCUUUAUAUAUGUGACAUUAACAUGUCCUAGUCCAUCAUGCCAUAGAGAAUGACUCAAUCAUAUAAGCAGAAGCAGAUACAUUUUCAUUGAUAACAUCAAAGAUAUGAAGUACAAAGAGUCUACAAUAGCCCUUUCCCUCAAAUACAUUAUUUUUGGUCAUUAUGAUUUUAUCAGAUUCAAAUGACACUUUUAUUCCGGCUCUUCCCAACAAGGACAUAGAGAUUAAUUUGCCCUCAUAGUAGGAACAUGCAAUACAUCAGCAAGGGCUAAAGUUUUUCCCGAAGUGAGUUUCAGGAGAACUUUACCCUUACCCAAGACUUUGGUAUUACUUGACUCUCUAAGAUAGACUUCUUCUCUAUCAUCCUCUACGGGAGUAUAAGAGGAAAAUGCUUCUCGAUUUGCACAAAUGUUCCGAGUAGCCCCAGAGUCUAUCACCCAUUCUUUUGCAUGUGUUACAAUAUUUACUUGAGAAAUGACAGCUGCAAUAAUAUCAUCUCCUUUAGCUAAGUUUGCUUUAGGAGUAUUAGUUUUUUCCUUGUCAUUUCUUGCUCUGUACUUGCACUAUGAGGCAUGAUCGCCUGAUUUUUCAUAAACAAAAUAAGAGCCAUUUUUCCUUUUAAGGUUAUGAUUUUAUGCUUGCAACCUUGAGAAUUAUUCUCGUACCUUUAGCAGUUGUUGUUGCUGCUUUGCACUAAAUUUGCUUUGAGAGUUGUCAUCCUAGCUUUUCCAGAUUCUUUUCUGUUGGAAUCUUCAAUUAGGAUGUGGAUCAUAAUUUCCUCAUUUAUGAAAUUUUUCUGUUUGUGCUUUAAGUUAUUUUUGCAGCCACUCCAUGAGUCAGGUAACUUCUCAAUUAGAACUCCAGCAGCAAACUUUUCUUGUAAAGACAUCCCCUCGACCUUCAAAUCUUCUAACUAUUUUUGAAAUUCGUUGAUUUGUAUGUUCAUCUCUUUAUCAUAUCGCAUCUGCCACUAAUAAUAUUUUCUACUAUAAUUUUUUUAUAGCAUCUUCAGCAGUGAAUUCUUUAAUUAAUGCUUCAUAUAUAGCUUUUGCUUCUUUAUAAAUGCAAUACACGUCAAACAGUUCGUUGGAAAUAGUUUGCAAUAUUGUAUGACGGUAUACCUUGUUGGCAUAUUGCCAUGAUUCUAUUAUUUUAUUAUCAGCGUCUACAUUAGGUUGUGGAUGCAGCAGUGCAAGUGCAACACCAUGGAUAUAAAGCAGUGAGAAAAUACGUUCCUGCCAAUGCUUAAAAUUUGCAUUGGCAAAAAUUUCAAUAUUUGACGAAUCUGGAAGUGGCCUGGCUAUGGCAGUGCAACUGGGGUUGGAGCAGCGGAUGUAACACCAAUAUUGGCGGUAUCAAUAGUGUUUUCAGCAUCAAUAUUAUUUGACAUAGUUUCUUAGAUUGUAGUUAAAUGACACCGAAAAAUAAUGAUAAUAAUAAUAUUACAAUAAUAUUAUUUGUGAGGGAAAAGUACACUAACUGGUUUGAGUCGUGCUGGGCACUGUCCUAAGAAACUAUUUUAGCAAAGUGAAAUAUUUCUCCAGGAUUGAACAAGCUUAACUGUAUUUUAUUUAGAGUAUACAGUAAUAAACAAAAUUAAAUAUUAUACAAAUUCAGCUAGUAAGAAAAAAAGGAAGAACAACUAAUGUACAAUGUUAAUUAAAUAUGAUAGAAAGGAAAAUGGAAGGAAGAAGAGAGAGAUAAAAGAAAGAUAUCUGAUGAUAAGAAUGAGUGGCUAAUGAAUACUAUUUAUACAGUCAUAAGUGCAUGUUUCUAUCAUCCUGCAUGAUUGCUACGUGGCUUUCUUCUUUUGCAUUUUUCCAAUGGAAUAUGCCAUUUAUGUUAACCUUUUAGAAGGCCUAAAUGCUUGUCCAAACAGGCUUUAUCUGCAAAAGUUUCGGUUAAUGGAGGAGAAUUACAAGAAAAGUGUCACAUGUAUAUAUAAAAUACAAUCAACAAAGAAAUUGAACGAUUGGACUCCCUCAUAGUGGCAAAUAUGCUUAAUCACACUGCAGUUAGUUGCAAAUUCAAAAGCAUUUAUAGAGGACACUGGCCGCAUAGAUUUUAAUCUCCAAGCAAAAUUUUGAGGUAAAUCACUAAUUUAGAUAAGCAAAUCAAGUGGUGGAUGAUUUAGCUAAACAUGGUUCCUGGCUUCCAGCCUUCAAGAUUCCUCUAUCCUGUUUGAUUAUCAGGAUAUCCCUAUUAUAGAAUCUUAUCAGUUGGAUAAGUAGCAACUUAUAUCACUGUUCUCCAAAUUAAACUGAGACUGUCUAAUCUACUUGAUUAUUGCCUAUUCUUGUAUAUGGGCAUAUUGGUUCGCCCUCUUAAUUAUUGGUAAUUCAUGGUUUUAAUAAAAUAUGUACUAGCUUUCACUGGAAAUAGACAACAAAUUAACUAAAGUUAUAUAUCAAUAAUAUACUUGCAAGCAACUUGCAAAACAUAAAGGGAGGGGGUUAAAGAAAUGUAAAAAGUUUCCGCUCUUUUAAGAAAUUUCUUUUGAAAUAGUCUGAUCAUAUAAAAUAUUUUAAAAUUUACGCUGACAAUGCAAAUAUAUUUUACCCUAUUAGAUCACCUAAAAUAUAAUUAUAGGUGACUAUUUACAUUAGCCCGGUUUGCCAAACUUAUUUUUGGUCAAAAAUAUAUUAUUUUUUUUUGCAAAAAUCAUUUUUGGUAAAGAAUUGAGGUAUUUUACUACUAGAAAUUUGGAAAAAAGCGAUCAUAAAAAGAAACCAAAGUUGGUCAUUUAUUGGCCAAAAAGCGACCAAACAGGCCUGGUAGAUAUUAAGCUGGUCCCUUUAUUUUAGGGACAAAAGUUGGUCGCUAAUUAGCGACCAACUUUGGUCUCUAAGGUAAAAGGACCAAAUAUUCCGGGUAAAGACUAUAGCGACCAACUUUGGUCGCUUUAUUAAUUUAAUAGUAUAAUUUUAGCGACAACGUUAGUCUUUAAAUAUAAGAUAUAUUUUUUAUUUAUUAUUAAUCAUUAAAAAGAGAACAACUUUGGUCUCUAAUCCAAAUAUUAUAUUUUAAAAUUUAGAAAAUAGCGACCAAGGUUGAUCGCUUUUUAAGAAAUUUGGGUAAAAAGCGACCAAUGUUGGCGCUAUUUCCUAGAUUAUUUUUUUAAAUAAAAUGCAACAAAAUAGAGACCAAAAGUUGGUAGCUUUUCUACGUAUUAUGUUGGCAGAAACUGUCUGUUUUGGCAGCUACACCACCUGCCAGUCACACCACAAUCACAUUACAAGCAAAAACAACAAUAAUUACAACAACAAUAAUACAAAAACAAUAUUAAAACCAACAUUAAAACAUCGAAAUAUGCAACAAGUGUUUAGACCUUUUAGAAGGUUAACAUAAGUGAUAUAUUCCUUUGGAAAAAUGGUAAGAGAAGAAAGCCACAUAGAAAUCAUGCACAAUGAUAGAAACAUACACAUAUGGCUAUAUAAAUAGUAUUCAUUAGCCGCUCAUUCUUAUCAUCAGAUAUCUUUUUUUUUAUUUCUCUCUUCUUCCUUCUAAUUCCUUUUCUAUCAUAUCUAAUUAAUAUUACACAUUAGAUGUUCUUCCUUUUUUUUCUUACUAGUUGGAUUUGUAUAAUAUUUAAUUUUGUUAAGUCUUUUAUCCUCUAAAUAAAAUAGAGGUAAGCUUGUUCAAUCCUGGAGAAAUAUUGCACUCUGUUGAAAUAGUUUCUUAGGACACUGCCCAGCAUAUCUCGGCCGGUUAGUGUAUUUCCACUCAUAAAUAUUAUUAUAAUAUUAUUAUUAUUAUCGUUACUUUUCGGUAUCAUUUAACUAGAACUUUUACAUAGUUCAUUUGUGGUACAAAUUAAAUACAAAGCUAGGAUGACAGCUCUCAUAGCAAAUUUAGUGCAAAGCAGCAACACCAACCGCAAAAUGUAUGAGAAUAACUCUCAAGGUUGCAAGCCUAAAACCCUAACCUUAAAAGGAAAAAGGGCUCUUGUUUAGUUUGUGAAAAACCAGGCCAUCAUGCCUCACAAUGCAAGUAAAAAGCUAGAAAUGACAAGGAUAAAACUAAUACUCCUAAAGCUAACUUAGUUGAAGGAGGUAAUAUUAUUGCAGCUGUCAUUUCUCAAGUAAGCAUUGUUGCACAUGCUAAAGAAUGGGUAAUAGACUUUGGGGCUACUCGGCACAUUUGUGCAAAUCGAGAAGCAUUUUCCUCUUAUAUUCCUGUAGAAGAUGAUAGAGAAGAAGUCUAUCUUGGAGACUCAAGUACUACCAAAGUCUUGGGUAAGGAUAAAGAUCUACUGAAAUUCACUUCGGGAAAAACUUGAGCCCUUGUUGAAUUACUGCAUGUUUGUACUUAUCAGGGCAAACUUGAUCUCUGUAUCCUUGUUGGGAAGAGCCGGAGUGAAAGAUUCAUUUGAAUCCGAUAAGAUCAUAAUGACCAAAUAUAAUGUGUUUGAGGGAAAGGGCUAUUGUAACCAAUGACUCUUUGUACUUCAUAUUUUUGAUGUUAUCAAUGGAAAUGUAUAUGCUUCUACUUAUAUGAUCGAGUCUAUUCUCUAUGGCAUGCUAGACUAGUACAUAUUAGUGUCACAUAUAUAAAGAAAAUGCAAUCACGAGGAUUAAUAUCUGAUUUAGACUCAAAUAAUAUUAACAAGUGUAAAAUAUGUGUUGAAGCUAAAAGUACUAGAAAAUCUUAUUUUUCUGUAAAUAGAGAAACCGAUUAUUAUCUUUAAUUCAUAUUGACUUAGGCGAUUUGAAGAUGAAAAUGACUAGAGGUGGUAAAAGAUAUUAUGUGACUUUUAUUAAUGAUUUUUCUAGAUAUAUUAAGUUGUAUUUCCUUAGAAUUAAAGAUGAUGCUUUUAAUGCUUUUAUUUUUUAUAAAAAUGAGGUUGAAAAUCAACUUAGUAGAAAAAUCAAGAGAAUCAGAUCUAAUAGAGGUGGAGAAUAUUUGUUUUUGAAUGAUUUCUAUGAAAAAAAGAAAUAAUUCAUGAAGUAACUCCGCCUUAUUCACUCGAGUCAAAUGGAGUAGCUGAAAGGAAAAAUAGACAUUGAAAGAGAUGAUGAACUCUAUGUUAAUUAGUUCUAAUGCUCUUGAUAAUUUCUCGGAUGAAGCUAUGUUAUCUGCAUGUCACUUACAAAAUAGAGUACCUCAAAAGAACUGGCAAAUCUCCAUAAGAAUUGUGGAAACGUUAUAAACCUAAAUUGAAAUAUUUAAAAGUGUGGGAGUGUCUUUCUAAAGUUCUUUCGCCUGAACCUAAAAAGAGAAAAAUAGGUUCUAAAACUGUUUAUUACAUGCUAAUUGGAUAUGUAGAACAUAGUGUUGCAUAUAUAUUUCUUGUUUUAAAAAGUGAUGUGCUUGAUCGCAAUACUAUAAUUGAGACAAUGAAUGUUGAGUUCUUUGAAUAUAUUGAUCCAUUAUCUAAUAAAAUUUCUCAUACGCCGCUUGAAUAAAAUAAUGAAAUUAUGUCUAAUGAGGAACUGAGAAGGAGCAAAAGGCCUAGAAAAAAAUAUUAUUCUUAUGGAAAAGAUUUUAUACUUUUCUUGUCGAUAAUGAACUAUCAAAUUAUUUAAAGCUAUAUUUAUUCAGAUGCUAAAUAUUGGAAAGAGACAAUAAAAGUCAAAAUUGAUUCUAUUAUAAAAAAUAAUACAUGGAUUUUAACUAACUUACCUCCUGGUGCAAAAUCUAUUAGUUGUAAUUGGAUAUCCAAAAAGAAAUUUAAUCCUGAUGGAUCUUUAGAUAAAUAUAAAGCUCAGUUAGUAGCAAAGAAAAUUUCUCAAAAACAAAAUAUAGAUUAUUUUGAUACAAUUGCACCAGUGACUAGAAUUUCUUCUAUUCGAGUUUUAAUUGCCUUAGCUUCUAUCUGUAAUGUUUUUAUCAACCAAAUGGAUGUGAAAAUUGCUUUUCUAAAUAGUGAUUUAGAAGAAGAAAUUUAUAUGGUUCAACCUGAAGGCUGUGUCACUCCUGGAAAAGAAAAUAAAGUUUGUAAAUUAAUUAAAUCUCUUUAUGGCUUUAAACAAGCUCCUAAGCAGUGGUAUGAGAAAUUUGAACUAGUCUUACUGAGAGACGAUUUUUCUUCAGUUGAAGUGGAUAAAUGGACUUAUACUAAAGUGGUAGACAAUUAUUAUGUGAUAAUAUAUUUGUAUGUUGCUGACAUGCUUAUAUUUGGUACAAAUUUAAAUAUUGUGCAAAAUAUUAAAUUAUUUCUGUCUUCUAAUUGUGAUGUGAAAGAUCUCUGUGAUGUAAAUAUGAUAUUGGGAGUUAAUGUUAUAAGGGGUGAAGAUGGCAUAAUUUUGUCACACGAACACUAUGCUGAGAGACUUCCUAAGAAGUUUGAAUAUUUUAAUAUCAUAUAUGUGAGUUCUUCUUUUGAUUCUAACUCUAAGUUGAAAAAGAAUAAUGGUGACCCAGUUGCUCAGUCUAAAUAUGCUCAGAUUAUUGAGAGUUUGAUGCAUUUAAUUAAUUUUACAAGGCCUAGCCUAUGUUGUGUAUAGACUGAGUAGAUAUACUCAUGAUCCAAACAAAGAGCAUUGGUCUGCAUUAAAUAAAUUUGAAAUAUAUGAUAGGAACCAUAAAUUAUGGCAUCCUAUAUAGUGAUUUCCUUGUACUUUAGAAGGGUACGUGAGACAAACUGGAUCUCUGAUUCAGAUGAGACAAAAUUCAUUAGUGGUUACGUAUUCAUUCUUGGUGGUGGUGCAAUAUCGUUGAAAUCAGCUAAACAGACGAUUAUUGCUAGAUCGACCAUGGAAUUAGAGUUUCUAGUUCUGAGGCUGAGUGGCUAAGAAACUUCUUAGGUAAUAUCCCUUUAAUAAAGGAUGUAUUACCUCAGUGUCUACACACUAUGAUUGACAAGCGGCUAUAGCUAUAACAAAGAAUAAAUCUUAUAAUUAUAAAAAUAGACACAUGAAAUUAGGACAUGAUGUCAUAAAAUAGCUAUUGAGGAAUUGAAUAAUUUCCUUUGACUAUGUGAAUUGAGAAAUAAAUUUGGUCGAUCCUCUGACUAAACCCGUAGGAAGAAAAUUAAUUUUUCAAACCUUAAAAAAGAUGGGGUUAAGGCCGGAAUGUUGUCAAUAGAGAUGGUAACCUAACCUAUGUAAUUGGAGAUCCCAUGAAGUAGGUUCAUAUAGGUAAUACCAAGUGAAUAUUGGCACUAAUGCACUAAAAGGGAGUGCUUGACUGCUACUAAUUGAGAAGCUGAGUUAUAACUCUUGAAAAAAUUCAUAGUCCUUAUGGAUGGUGUAUUUAAAAGCAGUAUACACUUGAUGAAUUCACCUAUAAGGCUGAGUUAUAAUUCUUAAUGAAAUUUAUAGUCAUUAUGGAUGGUGUAUUUAAAAGUAGUAUACACUUGAUGAAUUCACCUAUAUAAGAGUGGAGUGAGCCGCUCCUAUGAGAUUUUGGCCUAGUCUCUAGAGUAUCAUGAAUGACCAGGCACGCGCAUGGCCUAUUGGGCGCAAAACUGCGUUGAACAACAAAAUUACCGGGGGACAAAAUGUGAUUGAUAAAAUCUCUUACUUACAAUAAGAAUUAUUGGUUCAUAGAAAUAUUAUAUUUCACCAGUAAUUCUGUGAGUUAAAUUUUAUUUGUCUAAGUUUGGUUCAUAGUCAAGAAGUCACUAAACCUAUUAUAUUUGGACCAUACAAAGACAGCAAGUUUAUUUUUUAAAAGUCUUUAAAAUAUGGGACUGUGUAAAUGUUUUAAAGCCUCUUUGGACAAGUGUUUAGGCAUUUUAGAAGGUUAAGAUAAGUGGCACAUUCCUUAGGAAAAGUGGCAAAAGAAGAAAGCCACGUAGCAAUCAUGCACAAUGAUAGAAACAUGCACCUAUGGCUAUAAGUAGCAUUCAUUAACCAGUCAUUCUUAUCAUAAGAUAUUUUUCUUUUAUCUCUCUCUUCUUUCCUCCAAUUCCUUUUCUAUCAUAUUUAAUUAACAUUGCACAUUAGUUGUUCUUCAUUUUUUUGUUACUAGCUGAAUUUGUAUAAUAUUUAAUUUUGUUCCUUCCUAUAUCCUUUAAAUGAAAUAGAGGUAAGUUUGUUUAAUCCUGGAUAAAUAUUUCGCUCUGCUGAAAUAAUUUCUUAAAACAGUGCCCAGCACGACUCAAGCCAAUUAAUGUAUUUCCGCUUAUAAAUAAUAUUAUUGUAAUAUUAUUAUUAUGGUUAGUUUUCGGUGUCACUACUACUAAGAUAUUUUAUUUUGCUUUUCACUCGGGCAUUACUUUGUUUUUCUUAUCACAUGACUGUUCAUCUCCAAGUGCAACCAACUUGACGUAGAUGAGUUCUUUUUUUCUUUUUUCUUUUCUCUUUUCAUAUAUCAGUUCUGCCCUACAUAAGCUAUGCCACAUAAAUUAAUUUGCCAAUCGUUCAGCGGAAUUUUGAAGUUUUCAGAUUUUUAGUGAUAAGUGAGCUCCAUCGUAUUAUAUGAGUAUAUUGACACUUGACUGUACUGAGGGCAGCAAAGAUUUCCCUUGUUCAAUCGUACGUCCUAUUUAACACUGAAAGUACAAAUAUUGCUUAUUAUUGCAUGCAUGCAACAUAUAGCGUACAGAAAUUUGCUGGCCAAUUUAGUUAAGACUUAAAAUGCAAGCAUCAUAUCUUAAUUUUCUAUUAAAGGAAACGAUAAUACACUUAAGGUGCAGCAUUUCUUUGCUGCAAUUCUUUUGCCUUCACGAUAUAUCUUCUUCCCACCACAAUUUGAUUACCUUAUUUAUUAGUAGUGUAGGCAAGAAUAGGGAAAUCUUUAGAUUUCAAAUGGUGAUUAGAAUAAGCAAUCAAGGGGCGUAGCCACCACCGUGUCCACCACCUUCACCACCUCCAGUACCUCCUCCAUAUCCACCAGCAUGCUCACCUCCUCCAGCGGAGGCUCCACCUCCGCCGGCACCACUACCGCCGCCACCGCCUCCAUAUGCUCCUCCAUGUGCUCCUCCAGCACCACCACCGGCUCCUCCUCCACUGCCGUAUCCACCACCUGCUGCUCCCCCUGCUCCUCCUGCAUAAGCACCACCGCCACCACCUCCAUGUCCACCUCCACCACCAUAUCCACCGCCUGGUGCCCCUCCAGCACCAUAGCCGCCACCACUACCUCCUCCUCCUCCUUCAGCGUAUCCACCACCAUGUGCUCCACCCGUAGCUGCUCCGCCGCCACCACUACCUCCGCCACCUCCACCACCAUAACCACCACCUGGGGCUCCUCCAGCACCAUAUCCGCUACCACCACCUUCACCACCACCACUUGCAUGUCCAGCAUCGUGCCCUCCACCAGCAUAGCCACCUCCUGCGCCGCUUCCACCACCACCUCCUCCAGCAUAUCCAGCACCAUGCUCUCCUCCAGCUGCAUAGCCAGAACCACCACCGGCUCCGCCUCCACUACCACCUCCACUGGCAUAACCAUGGUCAACUGCAGCUCUAUAUCCACCACCUCCACCGGAACCUCCUCCACCACCACCAGCAUAGCCUCCACCAGCAACACCACCACCAGCGCCACCGCCAAUGCCAUGGCCUGCACCAUAGGCACCUACCUCACCCCCAACACCUACAUGAUCAUAAGUGAGGAGGGUUCUAGCAGCUGAACAUAUUCCUAUGCCCAGUAACAAAAAUCAAACAAUGUUAGUAACUUUAAGCUUCGCCAUUGUAAUGUAGUUGAAUGCCACAAAAUCGACUUGGAAUAGAAUGCAAGAAUCGGAGGCUAUUUAUAGAUGUAGAAAAGCGUCUAUAUGCACAAAUCACAUGCAAAUGAACAAAAGGCAACUCCUUUUGUCCCUACAAUUUAAGUGAUCCACUGCACUAACAUCCUCACAGAUUUGACAUCAUUUCUUUUUAAUUCAAUCUCUACUCCAAGUAGACUAGCUAGUGUGCUUGUGCUGUCUCCCAUAUUCGUUAAGUAUACAGUAUAAAAAUAUUUCUUAAUACCAUACUUUUCUUAAUUCUUUAUUUUUGAUAUAUCUUGUAGUUGGAAGUCCGAGUCAGUUACAGUAAAUUCCUCCCAAACUAAUUAUAUAUUUAGUUCCACUUAAUCGAUACGGUUCUUUAUGUUUAAUAUUUUGUGUCACAUUCUCUAAUAUUGAAUUGGAAAAAUGUGAUGCGAUAUUGAUAGGCAGAUUAAGAUUAGAGUUCUUAUUCAACCGGGGCUUGCUAAUUUUUGAGAUUUUAUGAAAUUAACUUAUAUGCAGUUGCGGUAAAAGUAUAUUUAUUUACACAAAAACAAUUGAUGCAUGAUACAUUAUUUGUUAAUUCAUUCGAUACUCGAAGCCGACUGGUCCGGCUAAUUCAGAUUUGCGACAACAAAUUUACUAUGGGGUGCUCAAACUCGAAAUCUUUGGUUAUGCAAUAACAAUAUCUCCAAUAUUCACCAAAUAAUGGACGAACUUUUAGAAAAUGAUUUGGAACAUCCUGAGCACAUAUUGGAAGAAGUUGAUAUAAAUGAAGUAAGAAUUAUAGAAAACAAGGAAGAAGAACUCUAACGAGGAACAAUACAUCGAUGAGCUUUAAAAAGUUGGUUUCUUUAAUAACUCUCGUUUAUAUAUUAUUUCUUUAUAUGUUUCAAUCUAAAUAUGUAUUAUAUUAUGCAGAUGACGGGCAAGGGUCGAGGUAACAAUGACCCUAGUGGUUCUCUGGGUCGAGAAAAGGUUAGAAAACUAAAGAGAAGGGUAGAAGAUAAUACUCAUUCUUUUUCACCCUCUUCUGAUGUUCUUAUGCCUAUGCUUUUGCCUCCACCCCAAGGCUAUUUUGAGCUGCCACACAUCACCCGCCCUACACCUUCGUGCAGACCCCAGGUCUUUCGUCACAGGGCCAUAGAACUAUACAUCUGACAUACAGUCCACAUGCCUCACUACCACGUGGAUCACACCCAUCAGCAUCACAUGGAUCGCAUCGAUCCACGUUCCAUCCACAUGGAUCACAGCCAUCAGUGUCCCAGUCACUCGGGUCACAACAAUCAGUAUCACAGCCACUUACUUUCCAUCCAACUACCUCGCAGUUACAGGGAUCACAUCUAUCUUCAUCAGGGACUCCAUCUAUUUCAGGCCUUCGCUUGCGGGAUACUAGAUUUGACCCCUACACCUUCCACACAUGCUUCUGAUAUACAUAAUUCGGAUGGUGAUGCUGAUGCUGAUGCUGACAAGGAGGUGCAUUAUGAUCAAUAUGGCAAGAUCAUCAUAGUCCCUGCGAGUGAUGGGUAAGAGUUAAUUGUUAUUUUUAUGUUUAUUAUUUUAUAAAGAUUUUACUAAGAUAUUAAUUCUUUUUUAUUAAAUUGCAGGUUCAUCCCGAGUAAUAAUACUACGAAGAUAAUCACCAAAGCAACAACGGUUGCUUUAUGAUGGCCCUUAUGCGUCUUGGCAUGAAUUCUCACUCUGGCUGAAGGAGCAAAUUUUCGAUAUAUUUAAGGUGUAAAUAUUCUUUUAAGCGGUAUAAUUAUUUAUGUUUAUGAUACUAUUAAUAUUUAUAUUUUGAAAUACAGAGCAAGUGCGUAUGGGAAAACCGUUGUAGCACGGACGUGGAUGCAACUUUUUAUCUCAAAGCUCGCAAGCGGUUGUCACUUACUUUCUCCAAAGCUAGAAAGUUGAACUGGAAGCCUGACUGGUUGCUUCAGAAUAUAUGGGAGGAUUCGCAAAGGCAAUGGCUUAUUGCAGAGUUCUUAGAGAAGAGCGGAAAAGGAAAGAAAGCAUCUGCGAAGGAAGGAUCCUUGCACACUGGAGAUGCGAUUAGCCUAGGGACAAUAAAAAGAAGAAUGGUACGAAAUUGCUUAAUUUAUUUUAAUUUUCAAAGUAUAUCUAUUCUAAUUAUUAACUAAAAUUUAUGAGUUUUCGGGAAAAGAAGUUGGGGCAUUCAAUGAACCAAGAUGAGCUAUUCAAGGAGACUCAUAUUGUGAAGAACAAGAAGAAGAAGAAGAAGAAAAUGAAGAAGAAGAAAGACACAGAUAAAGAAAGGUGGGUCGAGGGAUGCGCCUCGAUUAUACAUGUAAGUUUUCACUUUCCAUUAAGUAUUUUCAUUUACUUUUAUAUACAUUUUGAAAUACUAAUUCAAUUACUUUUUCUUAUAUGGUCGCUUCACAACUGAAGUUGAGGAAUUCAUACGCAGUCAGCCACCUAAUGAGUCAGGCGAGCAAAUCUAACCUUCGGACGGGGAUGCUGAAAGAAUAUGGACGGAAGCGGCAGGCGGUCCAAAAUGGGGAAAGGUAUACGGGCUUCCUACUAAAAAAUUUCAUCUCUAUAAGUGUGGAAUGCAAGGAAUAGGGACUUCCUCGCAAGCUGAGUAACUUGAUGGGGAGAGCCUCCCCGCUAUGCGGGAGACUGUGAUAAAGCUCACAUCCGAGCUAGAAUUGGCCAAGGAAAGAGAAAAGUUUAGAGAUGCUCAGUACAUAGGCAUGCAAGCUCAGUACCAGGGCAUGCAAGAGCAGCUCAAAGCUCUCCUACCUUCUAGAGCUUUUUCGAUUUCCCGAUCUCGUGAGUCAUCGCUAGAGGCUCGCCUUCCCCGUGCUCGCUCCUGCCGUCCUCUAAGUUCUCAUUCCUCUCGUCCUCCCAGUGAUUUCUCUUCCCUUUCUCAACAAAUAGACCCUUCUGAAUACCGUCAUGUUGAUGAAAGUUCAUCAUACGGUGAUAAUAAUGAUGUACACAACACAUAUUGGCUUUUAGAAAAUUUGAACAAGGUAAAUACAAUCGAUUUUCGAAUGUGCUUUUAAUAAGAGUCAACUUAGUUUUGUUAGCUUAAUGUGGUAGUUCUAUUUAACUUUAUACUUUGUUGGCUUUAAUGUUGGUUUUAAAGUUGUUUUUGUGUUAUUGUUUGUUGUUGGUAUUGUGUUGGAAUUGUUGUUGUUGUUGCUUGUAAUGGAGUUUUGGUAUGACUGGCAGGUGGUAUAGCUGCCAAAACAGGCAGUUUUUGCCAAAUCAAUAUAAAGAAAAACGACAAACUUUGGUCUCUAUUUGGUCGCUUUUUAUUUAAAAAAAUAAUCUGGGACAUAGAGACCAAUGUUGGUCGCUUAUUACUCAGAUUUCUAAAAAAGCAACCAACUUUGGUCGAUUAUCUUUUAAUAAAAUAAAUAAAAUUAAUAAAAAAGUGAUCAACCUUGAUCUCUAUUUUCCAAAUUUUAAAAUAUAAUGUUUGGAUUAAAGACCAAAGUUGGUCGCUUAUUAACGAUUAAUAAUAAAUAAAAAUAUAUUUUACAUUUAGAGGCUAACGUUGGUCGCCACAAUUAUGUUAUUAAAUUUAUAAAGCGACCGAAGUUGGUUGCUAUAGUCUUUACCUAGAAUAUUUGGUCCAUUUACCUUAGAGACCAAAGUUGAUCGCUAAUUAGCGAGCACUUUGGUCUCUAAACUAAAGGGACCAGCUUAAUAUUGACCAGGCUUGUUUGGUCGUUUUUUGGCCAAAAAGCGACCAACUUUGAUUGCUUUUUGUGGUUGAUUUUUAAUUUUGUUAAUUCCUGUAUCCUCUAAAUAAAAUAGAUGUAAGCUUGUAUAAUCCUAGAAAAAUAUUUCACUUUGCUGAAAUAGUUUCUUAGAUUAGUGCCCAGCACGACUCAAGCCAGUUAAUGUAUUUCCGCUCACAAAUAAUAUUAUUGUAAUAUUAUUAUUAUCGUUAUUUUUCGGUGUCAUUUAGCUACAAUCUAAGAAACUAUGGCAAAUAAUACUGAUGCUAAAAGUACUACUGAUACCGUCAAUAUUGGUGUUACGUCCGUUGCUCCAGCCCUAGUUGCACUGUCAUAUGCCAGGCUAUUUUCAGAUGUGUCAAAUAUUGAAAUUUUGGCCAAUGAGAAUUUAAAGCGUUGGCAAGAACAUAUUUUCUCACUGCUUGAUGUCCAUGGUAUUGCGCAUGCACUGCUGCAUCCACAACCUAGUGCAGACGCUGAUAAUAAAAUAAUAGAAUCAUGGAAAUAUGCAAACAAGGUGUACCGUCAUACAAUAUUGCAAACUAUUUUUAAUGAACUGAUUGACGCGUAUUGCAGUUAUAAAGAAGCAAAAGCUAUAUGGGAAGCUUUAAGUAAAAAAUUCACAGCUCAAGAUGCUACAAAAUAAAAAUUUGUAGUAUGAAAAUUUUAUUAGUGGCAGAUGAGAGAUGAUAAAGAGAUGGACAUACAAAUCAACGAAUUUCAAAAAUUAUUAGAAGAUUUGAAGGUCAAGGGGAUGUCUUUACAAGAAAAGUUUGCUACUGGAGUGCUAAUUGAGAAGCUACCUAACUCAUGGAGUGACUACAAAAAACAACUUAAAGCACAAACAGAAAAAUUUCACCAUUGCGGAAAUUAUGACCCACAUCCUAAUUGAAGAUUCCAACAGAAAAGAAUCUGUCUAAGCUAGGAUGACAGCUCUCAAAGCAAAUUUAGUACAAAGCAGCAACAACUAUUGCAAAAGGUACGAGAAUAUGUCUCAAGGUUUCAAGCCUAAAAUCCCUAAACUUAAAAGGGAAAAGGGCUCUUGUUUUGUUUGUGGAAAAUCAAGCCAUCAUGCUUCGCAGUGCAAGUACAAAGAAAGAAAUGACAAGGAAAAAACUAAUACUCCUAAAGCUAUCUUAGUUGAAGGAGGUGAUAUUAUUGCAGCUGUCAUUUCUCAAUUAAACAUGGUAGCACAUACAAAAUAAUGGGUGAUAGACUCUGGGGCUACUCGUAACAUUUGUACAUAUCGAGAAGCAUUUUCCUACUCCUGUAGAGGAUGGAGAAGAAGUCUAUCUUUGAGACUCAAGUACUACCAAAGUCUUGGGUUAGGGUAAAGUUCUCCUGAAACUCACUUCGGGAAAAACUUUAGCCCUUGUUGGUGUACUGCAUGUUCCUACUAUGAGGGAAAACUUGAUCUCUGUAUCUUGUUUGGAGGAGCCGGAGUGAAAGUGUGUUUUCCCAAGUUCAGUUAAAGUUUUGAAGAAUGACAAAUAAACUCAAUGAUAGACCAAGUCCAUCUUCUGAGACACAGUGGUUAUCAACCUAUGCAAAUGAGAUGCACGUGAAGAACAUAAGUCUUAGGGAUCAAGAAACAAUAUCUUCUGAAUAUCUUCUGAACUGAUAAAAAAGAUUGCAUAUAGGAUAAGGAGAAGAAGUCUCCUUAUGAGAAGAGAACACAAUCCGGAUCAAGGAUAAGGGUUGGAGUUUGUAUUGGUCUAGGACUCAAAUUCGAUAGAGGAUCAACAAUCGAGUCUCAAUUAAACUCUUAUUACUAACUUAAUAAAUAAGUAAGUUUUUUCUCUUUUACAGGCGUGCACAUUUCCUGUAAAAGGAACUCAGGAUGAACCAGGUCCAUCACUCAGGUGCACAAAAACGGGCAGGUUUGAGCAUGUAGGUUGCAUGUGAAGGAAAUAAGCUUAACUUGGUGUAUUUAAUAUCUCCUGAUUGAAAAUGUUGCAUAAUUGAUAAGGAGAAGGAAUCCUUAAUCAAAGAUAACACUUUCCAAGAUAGGGAAGGAGUUAGAAGUUGAAAUCAACUAGAACUCUUCCACCAAGGAAGAGUUGCAUAAGAACUCUAGUUAUUUGUUCAUCUACUAUCUCUAUAAAUUGCAGGAUGUUCUCACAUUACAAGUGUUGCACAAUAACGCAGAAGUUAAACGUGAAUUAAGAGCAAAAUAACAAAGCCUUUUGCAAGCAGUUUGAAUGUUCUCACAUUAAGAGUGUUGCGCAAAAACGUAGAAGUUAAACGUGAAUUGAGAGCAAACUAGCAAGGCUUUUUGGAAGCAGUACGGGUUUGAUUCAAGUGUGCAAACCUAAAGCUACAUGAACCAGAUUGAAGAACCAGCUUCGUAAGCGUCUUUCUUUAUUUCUAGUUCAAUUGUAAUAGGUAUUUUUAUUUGUACCUUUCAACUUUUGUAGAGCAAUUGUAAUAGGUACUUUGAGUAUUCAAGUUAGAGUUAACUUGAAGUUGUCGCAAUAGUUAGAGGCUGGUUGCUACAACGGGAUUAGAGUGAAUCCUUAGGUUUACAAAGAGGUUUUGUAAAUGUUGUUUUGGCUCAUUGAUUUUAGUGGAAGUUUUGAAAAAUUCUACUGAGUAGUAGGUCGUGGUUUUUUCACCUUUUGAGCCUGGUGUUUCCACAUAAAAUCUUUAUGUUCUUUAUUUUUUGUAUUUAUUAUGCCACACCAGCAGUAGUUGGAACACAUAGAAGAACCAGGUCCUUCAUAAGCAGUUUAAGCAAAAAAUUAGGUAACACACAAAUCAACACCCCUCUUUUGUGGUAUUGACGUAUAAAAUAUCAAAGUGUCAUUUGAAUCUGAUAAGAUCAUAAUGACCAAAAAUAAUGUGUUUGAGGAAAAGAGCUAUUGUAACCAAGGACUCUUUGUACUCAAUAUUUUUGAUGUUAUCAAUGGAGUGUAUCUGCUUCUGCUUAUAUGAUUGAGUCUAUUUCUCUUUGGCAUGCUAGAAUAUGACAUGUUAAUGUCACAUAUAUAAAGAAAAUACAUUCGCUAGGAUUAAAAUCUGAGUCUAAUUAAAAUCUGGUUUAGACUCAAAUAAUAUUAAUAAGUGUGAAAUAUGUGAUGAAGCUAAAAGUACUUGAAAGAGUUGUUUUUCUGUAAAUACAGAAACUGAAUUAUUAUCUUUAAUUCAUGUUGAUUUAGGCGAUUUAAAGCAGACAAUGACUAUAGGUGGUAAAAGUUAUUAUGGGACUUUUAUUGAUAAUUUUUCUAGAUAUACUAAGUUUUAUUUGCUUAGAAAUAUAGAUGAUGCUUUUAAUGCUUUUAUUUCAUAUAAAACUGAGGUUCAAAAUCAACUUAGUACAAAAAUCAAGAGAAUCAGAUCUGAUAGAGGUGGAGAAUAUUUUUCUUUGAAUGAUUUCUGUGAAAAAGAAGGAAUAAUUCAUGAAGUAACUCCACCUUAUUCACCCGAGUCAAAUGGAGUAGCUGAAGAAAAAAUGGAACAUUGAAAGAGAUGAUGAACUCUAUGUUAGUUAGUUCUAAUGCUCCUGAUAAUUUUUGGGGUGAAGCUAUUUUAUCUGCAUGACACUUACAAAAUAGAAUACCUCAUAAAAGAACUGGCAAAUCUCCAUAUGAAUUGUGGAGGGGUUAUAAACCUAACUUGAAAUAUUUAAAAGUGUGGGGGUGCCUUGCUAAAGUUCUUUUUCCUGAACCUAAAAAGAGAAAAAUAGGUUCUAAAAUUGCUGAUUGCAUGCUAAUUGGAUAUGUAGAACAUAGUGCUGCAUAUAGAUUUUUGUUUUAAAAAGUGAUGUGCUUGAUUGCAAUACUAUAAUUUUGAUAAGGAAUGUUGAGUUCUUUGAAUAUAUUUAUCCAUUAUCUAAUAAAAUUUUUCAUACACCUAUUGAAACAAAUAAUGAAAUGACCUCUAAUGAGAACUUGAGAAGGAGCAAAGGGCCUAGGAAAGAAUAUUAUUUCUUAUGGAAAAGAUUUUCAAAAUUUUCUUGUCGAUAAUGAACCAUCAAAUUAUUUUAAAGCUAUAUCGUCUUCAGAUGCUAAAUAUUGGAAAGAAGCAAUAAAAGUUGAAAUUGAUUCUAUUAUGAAAAAUAAUAUAUGAAUUGUAACUAACUUACCUCCUGAUGCAAAACCUAUUAGUUGUAAAUGAAUAUUCAAAAGAAAUUUUAUCCUGAUGGAUUGUUAGAUAAAUAUAAAGCUCCAUUAGUAGCAAAAGAAUUUUUUCAAAAACAAAGUAUAUAUUAUUUUGAUACAUUUGCAACAGUGGCUAGAAUUUCUUCUAUUCGAGUUUUAAUUGCCCUAGAUUCAAUAUGUAAGCUUUUUAUCCACCAAAUGGAUGUGAAAAGUACUUUUCUAAAUGGUGAUUUAGAAGAUGAAAUUUAUAUGGUUCAACUGAAGGCUGUGUCAUUCCUAGACAAGAAUAUAAAGUUUGUAAAUUAAUUAAAUAUUUUUAUGGCCUUAAACAAGCUCCUAAGUAGUGGUAUGAGAAUUUGAACUAAUCUUACUGAGAGACAAUUUUUCUUCAAUUGAGGUGAAUAAAUGUGUUUAUACUAAAGUGGUAGACAAUGAUUAUGUGAUAAUAUGUUUGUGUGUUAAUCAUUGUGCAAAGUACUAAAUUAUUUCUGUCUGCUAAUUUUGAUAUGAAAGAUCUAGGUGAAGUAAAUAUGAUAUUUGGAACUAAAAUUAUAAGGAUUGAAGGUGACAUAUUAUUAUUACAAAAACAUUAUUUUAAGAAACUUCUUAAGAAGUUUAAAUAUUUUAAUAUUACAUUGUCAGUACUCCUUUUGAUUCUAACUCUAUGUUAAAAAAGAAUAAUGUUAACAACUUUAAGCUUCGCCAUUGCAAGGUAGUUGAAUGCCACAAAAUCGACUUGGGAUAGAAUGCAAGAAUCGGAGGCUAUUU
RNAcentral lists this long non-coding RNA (29602 nucleotides) under Nicotiana benthamiana. RNAcentral describes it as "long non-coding RNA (NBEN_LNC030315)". The record is from RNAcentral. Lineage: Eukaryota; Viridiplantae; Streptophyta; Magnoliopsida; Solanales; Solanaceae.